GACGAACGCUGGCGGCGUGCUUAACACAUGCAAGUCGAACGGAAAGGCCCUGCUUUUGUGGGGUGCUCGAGUGGCGAACGGGUGAGUAACACGUGAGUAACCUGCCCUUGACUUUGGGAUAACUUCAGGAAACUGGGGCUAAUACCGGAUAGGAGCUCCUGCUGCAUGGUGGGGGUUGGAAAGUUUCGGCGGUUGGGGAUGGACUCGCGGCUUAUCAGCUUGUUGGUGGGGUAGUGGCUUACCAAGGCUUUGACGGGUAGCCGGCCUGAGAGGGUGACCGGCCACCUUGGGACUGAGGUACGGCCCAGAAUCCUACGGGAGGCAGCAGUGGAGAAUAUUGCACAGUGGGCGGAAGCCUGAUGCAGCAACGCCGCGUGCGGAAUGACGGCCUUCGGGUUGUAAACCGCUUUCGCCUGUGACGAAGCGUGAGUGACGGUAAUGGGUAAAGAAGCACCGGCUAACUACGUG
RNAcentral lists this ribosomal RNA (468 nucleotides) under uncultured bacterium. Its description in RNAcentral is "partial 16S ribosomal RNA". It matches the Rfam family "Bacterial small subunit ribosomal RNA", at positions 28 to 507 of the family's 1533-position model. The record is from RNAcentral.